GAGCGGCAGCGGGAAGUAGCUUGCUACUUUGCCGGCGAGCGGCGGACGGGUGAGUAAUGUCUGGGAAACUGCCUGAUGGAGGGGGAUAACUACUGGAAACGGUAGCUAAUACCGCAUGACCUCGAAAGAGCAAAGUGGGGGACCUUCGGGCCUCACGCCAUCGGAUGUGCCCAGAUGGGAUUAGCUAGUAGGUGAGGUAAUGGCUCACCUAGGCGACGAUCCCUAGCUGGUCUGAGAGGAUGACCAGCCACACUGGAACUGAGACACGGUCCAGACUCCUACGGGAGGCAGCAGUGGGGAAUAUUGCACAAUGGGCGCAAGCCUGAUGCAGCCAUGCCGCGUGUGUGAAGAAGGCCUUCGGGUUGUAAAGCACUUUCAGCGAGGAGGAAGGCAUUAAGGUUAAUAACCUUGGUGAUUGACGUUACUCGCAGAAGAAGCACCGGCUAACUCCGUGCCAGCAGCCGCGGUAAUACGGAGGGUGCAAGCGUUAAUCGGAAUUACUGGGCGUAAAGCGCACGCAGGCGGUUUGUUAAGUCAGAUGUGAAAUCCCCGAGCUUAACUUGGGAACUGCAUUGAAACUGGCAAGCUAGAGUCUUGUAGAGGGGGGUAGAAUUCCAGGU
Molecule: ribosomal RNA, 620 nt
Filed under: Ewingella americana
Lineage: Bacteria; Pseudomonadati; Pseudomonadota; Gammaproteobacteria; Enterobacterales; Yersiniaceae
Description: bacterial SSU rRNA
Rfam family: Bacterial small subunit ribosomal RNA
Source: RNAcentral